GACUCAGACUCCGGACCUGGGACGCUGGAUCUCCGCUCCUGGACUGGCUCUUUCUCUCAGCUGCCGGACCCGAAUUUAAAUCAGUACAUCUGUCCUCCCCAGACCAUAAGAGGAUGGUUAACUUCUCUUUCCCGAUUCCGCCCUUCACUGCCUGUCACCACGAGUUAGUUCAGGUGCCAUCCAUUAGCUAGUGACCAGUGACAUCCAUUAUGCAUGGCCAUGAAUAUUUAUCUAGUGCCUUAUACCUGUACCAGAGAGGAUAGGAAAAGAGGAGUUACAAAGAAGCUUUUCCCCCCACACCAGAUGACCAGCUCAGCUGAAGAAACCAAGUGGGCCCAUCUUCAGUUUCUUCCAUGUGACCAGAGAAGAUGGCCACUUGCAACCACAGCGCCACACCAUCCUAGUUUGAGAGCCAGUAGAAAGAAAGCAACAUUUUUCUCUAUAGGUGUGUGUCAUCCCAGGCAAGACUCUCCUUGGUCCUGUUUGCAAAAUAGGCUGAUGUUUAUACACGGUGUGCCCAGGGGAAUGGAGUACUGGUACUGACCAUUACUACAGCAUAACUGAUAUCCCAUCAGAAGCGGAUAGAGUGCAGGAAGUAUUUUCCAAGGAAUCAGAGGACAGGAGGAGGCAGAAUGUCAGCUGUGUCCUAAUGUGAACUGGGCCUCAUAUAUCAUAUAUUGCCCAAAACACUGAGAAGAUAACCAUAGGAGAGGGGCCGUGAGUCCAUAUUUGCUGCAUGAAAGAUGGUGGUGUUGGCCAUGACCCCGGAACUGCUAUGCAAGCAGCCAGCCUCGUAAUUUCUACUUGGUUAGAAGGUGUUACCAGGGAAGAUUCUACCUAACAUGACUCAGUGAGAGGUGAACAUAUCAGUUUGCCCAUAAGAGGAUCAUAUAGUCAAAACUGUGUUUUUUCCAGUAGUCAUGUUUGGAUGUGAGAGUUGUACCAUAAAGAAAGCUGAGCACCAGAGAAUUGAUGCUUUUGAACUGUGGUGUUG
This is a long non-coding RNA of Cervus elaphus (red deer), 994 nucleotides long. RefSeq lists it as uncharacterized. The record is from RefSeq and is a predicted model, not a curated record. The transcript has 4 exons. Lineage: Eukaryota; Metazoa; Chordata; Mammalia; Artiodactyla; Cervidae.